Long non-coding RNA from Gasterosteus aculeatus aculeatus (three-spined stickleback), 1661 nucleotides. Lineage: Eukaryota; Metazoa; Chordata; Actinopteri; Perciformes; Gasterosteidae. The record is from Ensembl.
CAUUGUUGUGCAGCGUGUAACGUUUAAAAAGAAGGGUGGAGCAGCAUUUGUAAGAAAGCAUUUUCUAAAAUGCCACUGGCCAUUGAGCAGAGUGUUGUCGUAAGUGGAUGAAAACUAGAUACAUAGAGGGACAAGCAACCAAAUGCCAACAAGAAGAAAAAAGCUAUGAAGGUCUGUCCUACAGCUGCUGACUGACUACAAUUGGGUAUGUGUGUCCUAUACUGAGUCAUGAUAUUCAUGUCAAACUGCCUGAAGACAAAAAGAACUACAAGAUUUAAAGGAUACAAAGAAGAAUCCACACAUCUCAUAAAGUUUGACUUACCGUUGAACAGCAGAGGGCAGUAAAACCCAAGAAUGCUGAUGAAACCCACAGUGCAUCAGAAUGACCAUCCGAAUCAGUGGGCCCCGUAUUACACAACAAAGUUGUGAAUACUGUAGUAUGAGUUUGAAUAAAUACCACACGUCUCUUUCACAGCCGAUACUUUGAUUUGUCCCGACAGAAUACACACAGGUUUAACGAACAGAAUCAGCAGUGGAUCCGCUCUGUCGUCCCAGUAAGCCAUGACAGUGAGACGCUAAGAGAGCAUUUACAGCACCGGGGCCCCUGAAAGGAAGCAGAUCAAUGCAUUUCAGGCAACAUUAAUUCUAUUAUCUACACCUGUGCUUUUCCUAAUGUGACAUGUCAUAAUAUUUGUUACAAUGUAUUGUAAUGUGCUUGACUUAAUUCAACAACAAGUCUUUGUAAUAGGUUAUCGAAGAAUGACACCAUUUAAAUUCAUGUUUAAUUUGAAUUGCUGCGUACAAUAACAUUACUGUGUAAGAACAUGAAUAAAGUGUUCAUAUGCUGUUACAGAGUGGUGGACAGUAUUGCAGUGAGUGUUUAACUACCAUUUACGAGUAACUAUACUGUUUUUAGGGUGUUCUAACUUUUAUCCUCCUCCUGAAAGUUAUAUGUGUUGUUUUUAUUUUGAGUUUCUUUUAAUAUUUGAAUGUUUUGUUGCAUGCGAAAUGCACACAUCAUUGCUUAAAUACAUUCAUGUAUAUUUCUGUGUGGCUUGAAGGACGUUUUAGUUGCACUUUCCUUGCGUGUGUAUGUGUGCGUGUUCUCCAUACAAGGCUGGUCACGAAGGUCAUAAAGAGGAAGUCCCUGCGGUCAGUAAGAAGGAGCGCAUGUUUUGCUUGAUGUCAUAGUCCGCAUCCUUCAAUUUCCUCUCCUUCAUCCAUCUAUACUUGCCUUUGACCGUGGUGGAAAACCCAUGCAGCGUGUUUAGCGGGCCUUAGUUUAUGUGGGUGAGCCUGUCUGCGCGUGCAUAGUGAAGGAGGGUUGGUACAGUAAGAUGUUGUACUAAUCAUCUUUUGCUCAAGCUUGUGGUGGACCUUCUGCACAAAAGGUUACCUUCAAAUUAUUGUGACUUAUUUUAUAAGUGACCUUGAACAAUCUUAAUUUAUCCUCACACUAGCAUGCCUCAUUCCAACAUUAAAUAUAUACAUUUUAAAUUAUUACAACUUGUCUUGUGUCUACUUUUAUAGCAGAAUGGCACAUUUGUGAUAUGUAAAUUGUGAAUAUGCAAAGCCAACAGCUUAUAGCUACCCAUUGAAACUGAGACAUCAGAGGGCAAAUCACCAAGAUUUACCUUUUUUUAUGAAUUAUAAUACUUGCA